CGUGAACGCUGGCGGUAGGCCUAACACAUGCAAGUCGAACGGCAGCACAGGAUAGCUUGCUCUCUGGGUGGCGAGUGGCGGACGGGUGAGGAAUACAUCGGAAUCUGCCCAGUCGUGGGGGAUAACGUAGGGAAACUUACGCUACUACCGCAUACGACCUUCGGGUGAAAGAGGGGGAUCGCAAGACCUCUCGCGAUUGGAUGAGCCGAUGUCGGAUUAGCUAGUUGGCGGGGUAAUGGCCCACCAAGGGGACGAUCCGUAGCUGGUCUGAGAGGAUGAUCAGCCACACUGGAACUGAGACACGGUCCAGACUCCUACGGGAGGCAGCAGUGGGGAAUAUUGGACAAUGGGCGCAAGCCUGAUCCAGCCAUACCGCGUGGGUGAAGAAGGCCUUCGGGUUGUAAAGCCCUUUUGUUGGGAAAGAAAUCUUUCAGGCUAAUACCCUGGGAGGAUGACGGUACCCAAAGAAUAAGCACCGGCUAACUUCGUG
This 490-nucleotide ribosomal RNA is filed under the name uncultured bacterium. RNAcentral describes it as "partial 16S ribosomal RNA". It matches the Rfam family "Bacterial small subunit ribosomal RNA", at positions 29 to 507 of the family's 1533-position model. The record is from RNAcentral.